AAUGUUGAAGUAAUCGCUGCACAUACUAAUGUGUAGAGGAAAGUCCAUGCUCACACAGGCUGAGAUGCUUGUAGUGUUCGUGCUUGACGAAGUCAUAAGUCAAGGUAACCUUUUUAGGUUAACGGCAGGGAAAACACCUACGUCUUUGGAUAUGGUGUGAAUACCUUGAAAGUGCCACAGUGACGUAGCUAAAUAGGAAACUAUUUAGGUGGAACGCGGUAAACCCCUCGAGUGAGCAACCCAAAUAUUGGUAGGGGCAUCUUUCAGUAGGGAAUUCAACCGAACGAAGGACAAGCUUUUUUGGCUUGUAGACAGAUGAUUACUCCUUUGGUACGAGGCUGACCACCGUUUGCAGUACGACAAGGACAGAACAUGGCUUACGGAC
This 385-nucleotide RNase P RNA is filed under the name Gracilibacillus salitolerans. RNAcentral's name for it is "Gracilibacillus sp. SCU50 RNase P RNA component class B". It matches the Rfam family "Bacterial RNase P class B". From Rfam's summary of the family: Ribonuclease P (RNase P) is a ubiquitous endoribonuclease, found in archaea, bacteria and eukarya as well as chloroplasts and mitochondria. Its best characterised activity is the generation of mature 5'-ends of tRNAs by cleaving the 5'-leader elements of precursor-tRNAs. Lineage: Bacteria; Bacillati; Bacillota; Bacilli; Caryophanales; Bacillaceae. The record is from RNAcentral.